Drosophila ananassae is the source of this 762-nucleotide RNA transcript. It is a transcript of the gene named cytochrome b5, with no coding region annotated. The record is from RefSeq and is a predicted model, not a curated record. Lineage: Eukaryota; Metazoa; Arthropoda; Insecta; Diptera; Drosophilidae. The transcript has 5 exons.
CCAAAAAUCAGCUGUUUCGUUUGGAAACCUCAGUCAGAUUUUAACACCCAACAGGUUCGCAGCAAAAUUCAGGGAACAAGUCAGGCAGAGCAGGCAGAAAAAAUGAGCAAGGAAAUCCCAUUGGCCACCGUCAAGACGCACAACAAGCCCAACGACCUCUGGCUGAUAAUCGACAACAAGGUCUACGAUGUGACCAAGUUCCUCCAUGAGCAUCCCGGUGGCGAGGAGACACUCAUUGACGUGGCCGGACGCGAUGGCACCAAGGCAUUCAACGACGUGGGCCACAGCUCCGAGGCGAGGCAAAUCCUGAAGAAAUAUUUCAUUGGCAACUUGGCCGCUGCCGAUAUCCCAAAGAAAGGACCAGUAAGCUGCUUCCCUUCGCCAAGCUUUAAGUCGUUCUCCAGCACGAAAGUCAAAUUCUUCAAAAGCUAAUCGGAUUUAUUGGCGAGGUGUUUGUGAGUUUGGCUUUCGCAUCCUGAAGGAUCUCUGCCGCCAGAUCGGAUUGGCCCUGGGAGCCGCCUUCUUGGGCAUCUCGCUGAUUUAUGUUAUUAGGCGCGGAUUGGCCAGGAACUAAGUAAAUCCACCCAACCAAGCGCCUUAUUCAGCUUCAUUCCGUGAUUCCAGAGUUAAUGACCCAGACGACCAUCUAGUUUACAAUCUUUGAUAAGAAAUAAAUUGUACAAAUCAACGAAGUCAUCUUCCGCAUUUUACUUCAAAUAGAAACAAUGUAAAAUAUUCAAAUAAAAUGAACUUGUUGCAAAA